UCCAGCAGCUUCUUCGAGUAGCUCAGACCAUCACCGGAGCUCCCUUGGCCGUCACCCGGCCCGUCCAAGCCCCGCCGGUCCUCCUCCGCCGUUCCUCCGCCCGAUCCGCCGCCGUGCAGCCCUUCUCGGCCCCAAAUCAGAGGGCUGGAAGAAUGGGUAUGGCAGCCCCUUCGUGGGCCAUUUUGGCCGCCUUCCCGAGCCCGGAUGCUCGGCCCGCU
This 218-nucleotide long non-coding RNA is filed under the name Eucalyptus grandis. RNAcentral's name for it is "long non-coding RNA (EGRA_LNC005671)". The record is from RNAcentral. Lineage: Eukaryota; Viridiplantae; Streptophyta; Magnoliopsida; Myrtales; Myrtaceae.